Molecule: ribosomal RNA, 497 nt
Filed under: uncultured bacterium
Lineage: Bacteria
Description: partial 16S ribosomal RNA
Rfam family: Bacterial small subunit ribosomal RNA
Source: RNAcentral
GAUGAACGCUGGCGGCGUGCCUAAUACAUGCAAGUCGAGCGAACAGACGAGGAGCUUGCUCCUCUGAUGUUAGCGGCGGACGGGUGAGUAACACGUGGAUAACCUACCUAUAAGACUGGGAUAACUUCGGGAAACCGGAGCUAAUACCGGAUAACAUGUUGAACCGCAUGGUUCAACAGUGAAAGACGGUCUUGCUGUCACUUAUAGAUGGAUCCGCGCCGCAUUAGCUAGUUGGUAAGGUAACGGCUUACCAAGGCAACGAUGCGUAGCCGACCUGAGAGGGUGAUCGGCCACACUGGAACUGAGACACGGUCCAGACUCCUACGGGAGGCAGCAGUAGGGAAUCUUCCGCAAUGGGCGAAAGCCUGACGGAGCCACGCCGCGUGGGUGAAGAAGGUCUUCGGGUUGGAAAACCCUGUUAUUAGGGAAGAACAAAAGUGGAAGUAACUAUGGCCGUUUUGACGGUACCCAAACAGAAAGCCACGGCUAACUUCGUG